GACAGAGGGUGCAAACGUUGUUCGGAAUUACUGGGCGUAAAGCGCGUGUAGGCGGCUUUGCAAGUCGGGUGUGAAAUCCCUCAGCUCAACUGAGGAAGUGCGCCCGAAACUGCAGAGCUUGAGUACCGGAGAGGAUGGCGGAAUUCCCCAAGUAGAGGUGAAAUUCGUAGAUAUGGGGAGGAACACCGGUGGCGAAGGCGGCCAUCUGGACGGAUACUGACGCUGAGACGCGAAAGCGUGGGGAGCAAACAGG
Molecule: ribosomal RNA, 253 nt
Filed under: uncultured bacterium
Lineage: Bacteria
Description: partial 16S ribosomal RNA
Rfam family: Bacterial small subunit ribosomal RNA
Source: RNAcentral